GGAAAAUGACUUUUUUUUUUUUCAAAACAAGGCAUAAGCUUACUUAUUGUGUCUGUCUGUUUUAGUCAGUCAACAAUCUUCUAACCAUAGAAUUUGACAGAAAAAGCUGCAGUAAGCAUGUUUGUGCCUGGGAUCAAGCUUGAGGCUGAGCCCACACCGAGGCAGGAGGGGUGAGGCAUCAAGCAGCCCUCUGUUGGGUGUCAGGGGCAUGAUUCACACUGAGAUUCUGGAGGAAGAGCCACCGUAGGGAGCAUAACCACAACACUGGAGAUGUAACAGCAAACGUUGACAUCGUGUGACUGCUCUCCACACUUCAAGAACAGGUUUGCUCCCGGGGGGGCAGAGAGACGGGCUUCAUCUUCAGUGUGUGUAAAGCUCGAUCAGUAUGACUUCAGUGUGUGUGUGAGUGUGAUGGUGUCCUCUCAUCUAAACAACCUCUUAAACGGAUCCACCUCCUAACCCACUUCACAUUUGCAUCAGCUCCAGUUGCAGUCUCUGACAGAACAUCCUCAUAAAGGGCCUCAUUUGCCCAUGCGUGGGCUCUCUCCGGUAAGAUGAAGAUGCCCGAGUUUCUCCUCUGAAAAUCUGAAAAAGCAGGCC
This is a long non-coding RNA of Cyprinus carpio (common carp), 600 nucleotides long. The record is from Ensembl. NCBI's taxonomy places the organism in Eukaryota, Metazoa, Chordata, Actinopteri, Cypriniformes, Cyprinidae.